AGCGAGCGGAACUAACAGAUUACUCGGUUAAUGACGUUAGGAAAGCGAGCGGCGGAUGGGUGAGUAACACGUGGGGAACCUGCCCCUAGUCUGGGGAUACCACUUGGAAACAGGUGCUAAUAACCGGAUAAGAAAGACAGAUCGCAUGAUCAGCUUUUAAAAGGACGGCGUAAGCUGUCGCUAUGGGAUGGCCCCGCGGUGCAUUAGCUAGUUGGUAAGGUAAAGGCUUACCAAGGCGAUGAUGCAUAGCCGAGUUGAGAGACUGAUCGGCCACAUUGGGACUGAGACACGGCCCAAACUCCUACGGGAGGCAGCAGUAGGGAAUCUUCCACAAUGGACGCAAGUCUGAUGGAGCAACGCCGCGUGAGUGAAGAAGGUUUUCGGAUCGUAAAGCUCUGUUGUUGGUGAAGAAGGAUAGAGGUAGUAACUGGCCUUUUAUUUUGACGGUAAUCAACCAGAAAGUCACGGCUAACUACGUGCC
Molecule: ribosomal RNA, 481 nt
Filed under: uncultured bacterium
Lineage: Bacteria
Description: bacterial SSU rRNA
Rfam family: Bacterial small subunit ribosomal RNA
Source: RNAcentral